GGGGGCCGCUUGCUGCCCGCCUCAGUCAGACACCGCUCCGCUCCGGCCUCGGACGGAAAACAGUCCCCAGCGCCACCUCCGCGGCCGCUGCUACCGCUACUGAGCCAACAAAGGGGCGUGCGUCACCGCGCCGCGCUGCGUCAUCGCGUCAGUCCUCUGUGCGUCACCGCGCCACGCCCCUUGGCCCCUGCGUAGUAUACGGGGAGACCCCACGGCCGGGCCGGAGGAAGGACGGGAACGCGGCGGCGCAGCGGUGGCCCGGCUGGACUGAGAACCCGCAGGUCCUUGACGAGAGGAGGCUGAGGCCUUCCGGUCGCGGGGAGGGGCCCGGGAAGCGCCCAGGCAGAGGUUCUCGCCGCGGGCCUUCCUCGCUUCCGGGCCUCACCGGCACUUGUCGCCCGCCGUGGCUAGUUCCGGAAAGCCAUCUGCUGCUCAGCUAAAAUUCCGGUUGCCCGAGUCACUGCCUGGAAGGUGGUAGUACGAGGAAACUCCAAAUUGUGUGACAGGUUUCCAUGAAAACUUGAAGGCUAGAAGAAAGAGGAGGGGGAGGCCGAAUGUCCUUUGCUUCUGUACCACUCCUUAUCUGGGAUUUCUCUGAGGCACGUGUCCAUCUCACCUCACACAUCUCCAGCUUUUGAUGCUGCAUUGCAAGUUAAGAUUGAAACAGAAAUCCAAACAGACAGGAGACAAAGCCCAGAGUGCAGCUUGCUUGUCACUGCAUGAAGGACUGCAGAUUGGAGUGAGCUGCCACAGCCCAGAAACAUCAGUGCUGGGUGUGUCCCCAGAACACCAAAGCUUACCAAAAUGAAAAAGCUUGUCUUCUGUCUUUUACUUCUUUUGGUUUUUUUGUUCUUCUGGUAUCUUCUUUUGGAAACAAUACCAUGAUUUAAAAGUCAUAACAGGGCUUGGGACAGCUCAGCACUACAACACAAGCCUAGCAAACACAACGGCCUGUGCUCAGUUCUCAGCACCCAACAGCUACAACCAAUGGAAUCACCUCUUCCAACUCCAGGAACCAAAUGUCACCUCUUCCAGUCAUGUCUCAAGAGGGCAGAGAACAAGUUUCUCUAUACCCUCAGUCAAUAUCAGUAGAGUAAUAAUGGAAAGCUUAUGGUAUGUGACUGCUUGUCAAGAAUUCUCUAUGAAUUGCUUCACAUUUUGCUUUUAUGAACAGAUAAUUUUGCAGGCAAGAUGGCUCAGUGGGUCGACAUUUCUUACUGAGACUCAUGGCAUAAGCUUGAUCCCUGGGACCCACGUGGUAGAAGAAGAACCAAUUCCUGCAAGUUGUACUUUGACCUACAUAUGCACAUGUACAUAUAUGCAUGCACACAUAAUAAAUGCAAAAAAAGGGAGUUUAACAUGCUUAGAAGUUGAAUAACAUACUCAGCUGCCAAAACACUAGAGUUCCCACUUUAAAGAGUUUAUACUGAAAUCAAUACAUUGUCUCUCCAUGUUACUAAAUAAAAUGGCCUCAAAGUGCUGUCUUAGUUA
This is a non-coding RNA of Peromyscus maniculatus bairdii (prairie deer mouse), 1491 nucleotides long. The record is from RefSeq and is a predicted model, not a curated record. NCBI's taxonomy places the organism in Eukaryota, Metazoa, Chordata, Mammalia, Rodentia, Cricetidae.